Esox lucius (northern pike) is the source of this 1325-nucleotide long non-coding RNA. The record is from Ensembl. Lineage: Eukaryota; Metazoa; Chordata; Actinopteri; Esociformes; Esocidae.
ACUGGCAGGACAGCGGAAGGGGGAGCUAGGUAGAGGGGGAGGCAGGCUGCUGAUAAGAGUUGAGGCUGGGCACUUGACAAAAGCAAACCUCCUGAGAAAAACCAUCAUAUCAUGGGCUAAAAUCACUCUUAACCCAAUGGAUCUGUCUGUCUGAGGGUGGAUAACAUGUAUAGAAGAAAAAAAGGAAUUAUAUCGUAAAAACGGGGGAAAACUAAAUUUAUUUUACGUCACCUUCCGAGGUAAGGUGGGACAUAUUGACAGACAACAAUUUGAACAAAUAAUAUUGUCUCACACCUGCACCUCAACUAUUUGACCAUCACCAGCACUUGUUUGACAGAUGGGGUCAUCCCAAAACAAUGCCAAUGUCUGUCAUGUCCCUGCUACUACCGUAGGGCAGGCAGGAGGUGGUGCAUUUGAUUAGAACAACGUUUUGACCGACGACAUUUCACCAUACUGGAAUAUAAUGGGGAUUAGGCCAAGCUGCUCAGUGGUUUGAUGUGACCACAACACGUAAACAAAUCCUAAAUAUUGACAGACUCUGGUUUGGCAUUUAAAAGACUGCGCUCAUCCAUCAACAAGACCCUGGAAUGACCCCUGCUCUGCGACUGUAGCAGCCAACUUUUAAACGUGCCGUGUGUUAUCCUAACCGUACAUAUGGCCCCCCCCCCUAACUGGAUCUAGGACUUGGCUGUGUUGAAAACCUGACAGAAACCAGAACAAUGGCGUGAAGCCAAAGCACCAAAAACCCAGCAACCAGACAGUAGAAUACCUCCUGACUAAAAGCACACUGGAGGUGAAGGACUAAAAACAGCGCAGAACGAAGGACCCCUCUCCCUCCACCAGGAGAUCAGCCCUGUGUUGCCCUCAACUUUAACCAAGCAGAUCUUCGCAGCUUUCUUCAAAUGACCCCUGCGCUUUAGAAAGUUCUUCCACUAUGACAGAGCAGAUGAAAGAAAAUCAGCCAGUCACCUAAUCAUUCACAUACCAUUUUGUUUGACAUUGGCAUGUACCAACAGACCCGGCGAGUGUGUUGUGGGCUUCAAACGUGGGAUGUAAACGCACAGCAACUCAAGCAGCCCCUUAUAUGUAUUAAAAGAUGUCAAAUUAUUUAAAGGUAGCCCAUGUAAAAUAUAUAAAGCUUCAUAAAUGUGGCAAUUACCCCCAUUUUGUUGCCCUUCCUUCACCGUCACAUGUAGAUGUAUGCAGGUGUCAUGCGUCUGGUAGAAUGAACAGGUUUUUAACUGCCAGUUCCACUCAAUCCAAUCUUUUCAUGGGUCCGGUGAUAAGCAUAGUUCAUAGCUCCCUUCAUCAUUUUAUGGACCAAC